GGAUUAUCAGCUUAUUGAUCUGCAAUACCUGAGCCAGUACCCCCGCGAUAUCUGGGUCUAUGAUGCCCCACGCAGGCCUGUCCGGCCAGUGAUUCCGUGCUGGGGUGACACGCUGCAGAGUGACCGCAGCACCCCCGCCGAGCUGGACCCAGGGUUCCGGUUCGGCAAGGAGCCUGGCUGCCAUGAGCGGGAAAUGACCCCAGUGUUCCGGUUCGACCAGCUGCUGGACUUUGACGACGACUCCGUGGACAUGGGGGCAUCUGCCUUCUCCAGGUCUGACAGUGAUCUCAUACUGACCAGCCUGGACAUGGAUCAUAACUGUGUCGCCCAUGGCACCUGUGUUGAGAGAAACACCCCUGUCCUGGUCCACCAGCAGACUGGCAGUGGAGACAGCUCCUGGGGGGAGAGCGUGGCCCUGGGCGAGCAGGCAUGCUUGGGGAUUGCUGCGGGCUCCUCUGUCCGCCCGCCUGAGGCCCUGCUGGAGGCUGGCAGCCGGGCAGGGGCACGGAGUGAGCUGGAGCGUAGAAUGCGUGACAUGCACGACAUGCAUCUGGAGAUUCGGCAGGAUCUGGAUGCGGUGGAGCACACGCUGACCUUUGACCCACAGCAGCAGGAGAGCCUGCGCGAGGAGAAACAGCGGGUGGAGAAUCACCUCCAGCCGCAGAGGAAGCAAACGUGGUUUAGACGUCUCGGCAACGCCAUCAAAGGCCUAGGGAAGAGGAAGAGGAAGGAGGAGUUUGACGUGGGAGAGGGUGUCCCUGGGUGUGACGAGCUGUGCCCAAUCUCACAGGAUGUGAGCAUCUCGCAGGCCACUAUGCGGAAGAUGCACGAGGCGGAUGCCUGUGUCAGAAACUGGCGGGCGGUCGCACGUCACCAGCGGCAAAUGGACCUGCUCCAGGAAACGCUGGAGGACAUGGAGCGAAGCUUCCAGAAGCAGAAAGUGCAGCUGCAGAAUGCCGAAAGCGCACUGGACAGGCAACAGACCUGUGGAGGGGCAGAGGCCCUGAAGGAGGAGAAAAGGAGGAAAGAGGAGAUGCUGAAGAGCAAGAAACCAAAGAAGAUGGGCCUGAAGAGAAGGUUCUCCUUGUGCCUACGCUGCCUCACAUGAAUGUCAUCAAAAACUAUCGGAAUAUCGGAACUAUCAUCAAAAGCUGUCAGGAUCAAUGGCGUAACUAUAGGGGAUGCAGCAGGUGCGAUCGCACCUGGGCCCGUGAGUUGUGGGGGGCCGUGGCCGGGCCCAUAGACAUAUUUAUGUCUACAGUCUAUUGACGGCCCCAACAGUACUGCGUCUGACAGAAGUCUCAGACCC
Long non-coding RNA from Clupea harengus (Atlantic herring), 1309 nucleotides. The record is from Ensembl. NCBI's taxonomy places the organism in Eukaryota, Metazoa, Chordata, Actinopteri, Clupeiformes, Clupeidae.